Molecule: ribosomal RNA, 264 nt
Filed under: uncultured bacterium
Lineage: Bacteria
Description: partial 16S ribosomal RNA
Rfam family: Bacterial small subunit ribosomal RNA
Source: RNAcentral
AAUGGCCUGCGUCCGAUUAGCUUGUUGGUGAGGUAAAAGCUCACCAAGGCGACGAUCGGUAGCUGGUCUGAGAGGAUGAUCAGCCUGACUGGAACUGAGAACGGUCCAGACCCCUACGGGAGGCAGCAGUAGGGAAUUUUCCACAAUGGGCGAAAGCCUGAUGGAGCAACGCCGCGUGCAGGAUGAAUGCCUUCGGGUUGUAAACUGCUUUUAUUAGUGAAGAAUAUGACGGUAACUAAUGAAUAGGGGUCGGCUAACUACGUG